This 285-nucleotide unclassified non-coding RNA is filed under the name Hevea brasiliensis (rubber tree). The record is from RNAcentral. Lineage: Eukaryota; Viridiplantae; Streptophyta; Magnoliopsida; Malpighiales; Euphorbiaceae.
GACUCUCAGACAUCUUUGGUGCAUAAUAGAAUAUCUGUUUAGCACAUAUUUAGUAUUCAGAGAUGAGCUAAAACCAAAUUGACCCCAUCAUUUGUCAAUGUAAACUAAAAAUACUAUAUUAUACUCCUUCGUCACCCGAAUCAUCAUUCUCAUUCAUUGUAAAACAACAACAAUAGAGAAAGAACAAUAAGUGUCACUUGGAACACAAGAUAGAGUAAUCUGCGUACACAACCUAAACCAAAAACCAAAAAAGAGCUUACUUUAUCUUGUGUCCCAAUCAUUUCU